RNAcentral lists this ribosomal RNA (484 nucleotides) under uncultured bacterium. RNAcentral's name for it is "partial 16S ribosomal RNA". It matches the Rfam family "Bacterial small subunit ribosomal RNA", at positions 29 to 507 of the family's 1533-position model. The record is from RNAcentral.
AAUGAACGCUGGCGGCAUGCCUAACACAUGCAAGUCGAGCGGACGGACGGGGCUUUCUCUUGGAUGCAGUGAGCGACGGGCGGGUGAUGCCCAGGAAUAUGCCCUACCUAGAGGAAUGAGGUACGGAAACGGGAGCUAAUAUCGCAUCCGAUCAGAUAGAGAAAGUGGUGGAUCAUCGGUCCACAAGGUUUCUGAUGAGCCUAAGACGGAUUAGCUAGCUGGUUGGGUAAAGGCCUACCAAGGCGACGAUCCGUAACUGGGCUGAGAGGGUGAUCAGUCACACUGGAACUGAGACACGGUCCAGACUCCUACGGGAGGCAGCAGUGGGGAAUCUUCCGCAAUGGGCGAAAGCCUGAUCGAGCAACGCCGCGUGAGUGAUGAAGGUCUUCGGAUCGUAAAGCUCUGUAAGUUGGGAGGAAGGAAAGUGAGUUUAACCCUGCCUGUUUUGACGGUACCUAAAGAAUAAGCCCCGGCUAACUUCGUG